GGGGAUGUAGCUCAGUGGCCCAGUGCCUGCCUGGCAAGCAGAAGGCCCUGAGUUCAAUUCCCAGUACCA
Molecule: non-coding RNA, 69 nt
Organism: Heterocephalus glaber (naked mole-rat)
Lineage: Eukaryota; Metazoa; Chordata; Mammalia; Rodentia; Bathyergidae
Source: Rfam